AUUGAACGCUGGCGGCAGGCCUAACACAUGCAAGUCGAGCGGAUGAAGGGAGCUUGCUCCUGGAAUCAGCGGCGGACGGGUGAGUAAUGCCUAGGAAUCUGCCUGGUAGUGGGGGUUAACGUCUGGAAACGGGCGCUAAUACCGCAUACGUCCUGAGGGAGAAAGUGGGGGAUCUUCGGACCUCACGCUAUCAGAUGAGCCUAGGUCGGAUUAGCUAGUUGGUGGGGUAAAGGCCUACCAAGGCGACGAUCCGUAACUGGUCUGAGAGGAUGAUCAGUCACACUGGAACUGAGACACGGUCCAGACUCCUACGGGAGGCAGCAGUGGGGAAUAUUGGACAAUGGGCGAAAGCCUGAUCCAGCCAUGCCGCGUGUGUGAAGAAGGUCUUCGGAUUGUAAAGCACUUUAAGUUGGGAGGAAGGGCAGUAAGUUAAUACCUUGCUGUUUUGACGUUACCAACAGAAUAAGCACCGGCUAACUUCGUG
Molecule: ribosomal RNA, 484 nt
Filed under: uncultured bacterium
Lineage: Bacteria
Description: partial 16S ribosomal RNA
Rfam family: Bacterial small subunit ribosomal RNA
Source: RNAcentral